Molecule: ribosomal RNA, 492 nt
Filed under: uncultured bacterium
Lineage: Bacteria
Description: partial 16S ribosomal RNA
Rfam family: Bacterial small subunit ribosomal RNA
Source: RNAcentral
AGUGAACGCUGGCGGUAGGCCUAACACAUGCAAGUCGAACGGCAGCACAGUAAGAGCUUGCUCUUACGGGUGGCGAGUGGCGGACGGGUGAGGAAUACAUCGGAAUCUGCUUUUUCGUGGGGGAUAACGUAGGGAAACUUACGCUAAUACCGCAUACGACCUACGGGUGAAAGCAGGGGAUCUUCGGACCUUGCGCGAUUGAAUGAGCCGAUGUCGGAUUAGCUAGUUGGCGGGGUAAAGGCCCACCAAGGCGACGAUCCGUAGCUGGUCUGAGAGGAUGAUCAGCCACACUGGAACUGAGACACGGUCCAGACUCCUACGGGAGGCAGCAGUGGGGAAUAUUGGACAAUGGGCGCAAGCCUGAUCCAGCCAUACCGCGUGGGUGAAGAAGGCCUUCGGGUUGUAAAGCCCUUUUGUUGGGAAAGAAAAGCAGCAGGUUAAUACCCCGCUGUUCUGACGGUACCCAAAGAGUAAGCACCGGCUAACUUCGUG